This 110-nucleotide ribosomal RNA is filed under the name uncultured eukaryote. RNAcentral describes it as "partial small subunit ribosomal RNA". It matches the Rfam family "Bacterial small subunit ribosomal RNA", at positions 1419 to 1525 of the family's 1533-position model. The record is from RNAcentral.
ACCAGAAGUGGGUACGCUAACCCGAAAGGGAGGUAGCCCCCCCAAGGUGUGGUUCAUGACUGGGGUGAAGUCGUAACAAGGUAGCCGUAGGUGAACCUGCAGAAGGAUCA